RNAcentral lists this ribosomal RNA (253 nucleotides) under uncultured bacterium. RNAcentral describes it as "partial 16S ribosomal RNA". It matches the Rfam family "Bacterial small subunit ribosomal RNA", at positions 524 to 776 of the family's 1533-position model. The record is from RNAcentral.
UACAGAGGGUGCAAGCGUUGUUCGGAAUUAUUGGGCGUAAAGGGCGCGUAGGCGGUGCGUUAAGUCUGUAGUGAAAUCUCUGGGCUCAACUCAGAGUCUGCUGCAGAAACUGCCGUGCUUGAGUGUGGGAGAGGUGAGUGGAAUUCCCGGUGUAGCGGUGAAAUGCGCAGAGAUCAGGAGGAACACCGGUGGCGAAGGCGGGUCUCUGGGCCAUAACUGACGCUGAGGAGCGAAAGCGUGGGGAGCGAACAGG